AUUGAACGCUGGCGGCAGGCCUAACACAUGCAAGUCGAGCGGAUGAAGGGAGCUUGCUCCUGGAUUCAGCGGCGGACGGGUGAGUAAUGCCUAGGAAUCUGCCUGGUAGUGGGGGAUAACGUCCGGAAACGGGCGCUAAUACCGCAUACGUCCUGAGGGAGAAAGUGGGGGACCUUCGGACCUCACGCUAUCAGAUGAGCCUAGGUCGGAUUAGCUAGUUGGUGGGGUAAAGGCCUACCAAGGCGACGAUCCGUAACUGGUCUGAGAGGAUGAUCAGUCACACUGGAACUGAGACACGGUCCAGACUCCUACGGGAGGCAGCAGUGGGGAAUAUUGGACAAUGGGCGAAAGCCUGAUCCAGCCAUGCCGCGUGUGUGAAGAAGGUCUUCGGAUUGUAAAGCACUUUAAGUUGGGAGGAAGGGCAGUAAGUUAAUACCUUGCUGUUUUGACGGUACCAACAGAAUAAGCACCGGCUAACUUCGUG
Molecule: ribosomal RNA, 484 nt
Filed under: uncultured bacterium
Lineage: Bacteria
Description: partial 16S ribosomal RNA
Rfam family: Bacterial small subunit ribosomal RNA
Source: RNAcentral